GUGCUUGCUUCGGUGGCACAUACACUGAAAUUGGAACGACAGAUUAGUAAGGCCUCUGUGUAAGGAUGACACACAUUUGUGAAGCAUUCCAUGUUUAA
RNAcentral lists this small nuclear RNA (98 nucleotides) under Sciurus vulgaris (Eurasian red squirrel). The record is from RNAcentral. Lineage: Eukaryota; Metazoa; Chordata; Mammalia; Rodentia; Sciuridae.